RNAcentral lists this ribosomal RNA (495 nucleotides) under uncultured bacterium. RNAcentral describes it as "partial 16S ribosomal RNA". It matches the Rfam family "Bacterial small subunit ribosomal RNA", at positions 28 to 507 of the family's 1533-position model. The record is from RNAcentral.
GACGAACGCUGGCGGCGUGCCUAAUACAUGCAAGUAGAACGCUGAAGGAGGAGCUUGCUCUUCUGGAUGAGUUGCGAACGGGUGAGUAACGCGUAGGUAACCUGCCUGGUAGCGGGGGAUAACUAUUGGAAACGAUAGCUAAUACCGCAUAACAGUAGAUGUUGCAUGACAUUUACUUAAAAGUUGCAAUUGCAUCACUACCAGAUGGACCUGCGUUGUAUUAGCUAGUUGGUGGGGUAACGGCUCACCAAGGCGACGAUACAUAGCCGAACUGAGAGGGUGAUCGGCCACACUGGGACGGAGACACGGCCCAGACUCCUACGGGAGGCAGCAGUAGGGAAUCUUCGGCAAUGGACGGAAGUCUGACCGAGCAACGCCGCGUGAGUGAAGAAGGUUUUCGGAUCGUAAAGCUCUGUUGUAAGAGAAGAACGAGUGUGAGAGUGGAAAGUUCACACUGUGACGGUAUCUGACCAGAAAGGGACGGCUAACUACGUG